UCGGGAAUUUUGGGCAAUGGGCGAAAGCCUGACCCAGCAACGCCGCGUGAAGGAUGAAGUAUUUCGGUAUGUAAACUUCGAAAGAAUAGGAAGAAUAAAUGACGGUACUAUUUAUAAGGUCCGGCUAACUACGUGCCAGCAGCCGCGGUAAUACGUAGGGACCAAGCGUUGUUCGGAUUUACUGGGCGUAAAGGGCGCGUAGGCGGCAAUUCAAGUCAUCUGUGAAAUCUCCGGGCUUAACUCGGAACGGUCAGAUGAUACUGCUUUGCUAGAGUGCAGAAGGGGCAAUCGGAAUUCUUGGUGUAGCGGUGAAAUGCGUAGAUAUCAAGAGGAACACCUGAGGUGAAGACGGGUUGCUGGGCUGACACUGACGCUGAGGCGCGAAAGCCAGGGGAGCAAACGGGAUUAGAUACCCGCGUAGUCCCUGAGCGGGCUGGCAAGGCG
Molecule: ribosomal RNA, 444 nt
Filed under: uncultured bacterium
Lineage: Bacteria
Description: bacterial SSU rRNA
Rfam family: Bacterial small subunit ribosomal RNA
Source: RNAcentral